GGGUUGUGAGGUUAAGCGACUAAGCGUACACGGUGGAUGCCCUGGCAGUCAGAGGCGAUGAAGGACGUGCUAAUCUGCGAUAAGCGUCGGUAAGGUGAUAUGAACCGUUAUAACCGGCGAUUUCCGAAUGGGGAAACCCAGUGUGAUUCGUCACACUAUCAUUAACUGAAUCCAUAGGUUAAUGAGGCGAACCGGGGGAACUGAAACAUCUAAGUACCCCGAGGAAAAGAAAUCAACCGAGAUUCCCCCAGUAGCGGCGAGCGAACGGGGAGCAGCCCAGAGCCUGAAUCAGUGUGUGUGUUAGUGGAAGCGUCUGGAAAGGCGCGCGAUACAGGGUGACAGCCCCGUACACAAAAAUGCACAUACUGUGAGCUCGAUGAGUAGGGCGGGACACGUGGUAUCCUGUCUGAAUAUGGGGGGACCAUCCUCCAAGGCUAAAUACUCCUGACUGACCGAUAGUGAACCAGUACCGUGAGGGAAAGGCGAAAAGAACCCCGGCGAGGGGAGUGAAAAAGAACCUGAAACCGUGUACGUACAAGCAGUGGGAGCACGCUUAGGCGUGUGACUGCGUACCUUUUGUAUAAUGGGUCAGCGACUUAUAUUCUGUAGCAAGGUUAACCGAAUAGGGGAGCCGAAGGGAAACCGAGUCUUAACUGGGCGUUAAGUUGCAGGGUAUAGACCCGAAACCCGGUGAUCUAGCCAUGGGCAGGUUGAAGGUUGGGUAACACUAACUGGAGGACCGAACCGACUAAUGUUGAAAAAUUAGCGGAUGACUUGUGGCUGGGGGUGAAAGGCCAAUCAAACCGGGAGAUAGCUGGUUCUCCCCGAAAGCUAUUUAGGUAGCGCCUCGUGAAUUCAUCUCCGGGGGUAGAGCACUGUUUCGGCAAGGGGGUCAUCCCGACUUACCAACCCGAUGCAAACUACGAAUACCGGAGAAUGUUAUCACGGGAGACACACGGCGGGUGCUAACGUCCGUCGUGAAGAGGGAAACAACCCAGACCGCCAGCUAAGGUCCCAAAGUCAUGGUUAAGUGGGAAACGAUGUGGGAAGGCCCAGACAGCCAGGAUGUUGGCUUAGAAGCAGCCAUCAUUUAAAGAAAGCGUAAUAGCUCACUGGUCGAGUCGGCCUGCGCGGAAGAUGUAACGGGGCUAAACCAUGCACCGAAGCUGCGGCAGCGACGCUGAUGCGUUGUUGGGUAGGGGAGCGUUCUGUAAGCCUGCGAAGGUGUGCUGUGAGGCAUGCUGGAGGUAUCAGAAGUGCGAAUGCUGACAUAAGUAACGAUAAAGCGGGUGAAAAGCCCGCUCGCCGGAAGACCAAGGGUUCCUGUCCAACGUUAAUCGGGGCAGGGUGAGUCGACCCCUAAGGCGAGGCCGAAAGGCGUAGUCGAUGGGAAACAGGUUAAUAUUCCUGUACUUGGUGUUACUGCGAAGGGGGGACGGAGAAGGCUAUGUUGGCCGGGCGACGGUUGUCCCGGUUUAAGCGUGUAGGCUGGUUUUCCAGGCAAAUCCGGAAAAUCAAGGCUGAGGCGUGAUGACGAGGCACUACGGUGCUGAAGCAACAAAUGCCCUGCUUCCAGGAAAAGCCUCUAAGCAUCAGGUAACAUCAAAUCGUACCCCAAACCGACACAGGUGGUCAGGUAGAGAAUACCAAGGCGCUUGAGAGAACUCGGGUGAAGGAACUAGGCAAAAUGGUGCCGUAACUUCGGGAGAAGGCACGCUGAUAUGUAGGUGAAGUCCCUCGCGGAUGGAGCUGAAAUCAGUCGAAGAUACCAGCUGGCUGCAACUGUUUAUUAAAAACACAGCACUGUGCAAACACGAAAGUGGACGUAUACGGUGUGACGCCUGCCCGGUGCCGGAAGGUUAAUUGAUGGGGUUAGCGCAAGCGAAGCUCUUGAUCGAAGCCCCGGUAAACGGCGGCCGUAACUAUAACGGUCCUAAGGUAGCGAAAUUCCUUGUCGGGUAAGUUCCGACCUGCACGAAUGGCGUAAUGAUGGCCAGGCUGUCUCCACCCGAGACUCAGUGAAAUUGAACUCGCUGUGAAGAUGCAGUGUACCCGCGGCAAGACGGAAAGACCCCGUGAACCUUUACUAUAGCUUGACACUGAACAUUGAGCCUUGAUGUGUAGGAUAGGUGGGAGGCUUUGAAGUGUGGACGCCAGUCUGCAUGGAGCCGACCUUGAAAUACCACCCUUUAAUGUUUGAUGUUCUAACGUGGACCCGUAAUCCGGGUUGCGGACAGUGUCUGGUGGGUAGUUUGACUGGGGCGGUCUCCUCCUAAAGAGUAACGGAGGAGCACGAAGGUUGGCUAAUCCUGGUCGGACAUCAGGAGGUUAGUGCAAUGGCAUAAGCCAGCUUGACUGCGAGCGUGACGGCGCGAGCAGGUGCGAAAGCAGGUCAUAGUGAUCCGGUGGUUCUGAAUGGAAGGGCCAUCGCUCAACGGAUAAAAGGUACUCCGGGGAUAACAGGCUGAUACCGCCCAAGAGUUCAUAUCGACGGCGGUGUUUGGCACCUCGAUGUCGGCUCAUCACAUCCUGGGGCUGAAGUAGGUCCCAAGGGUAUGGCUGUUCGCCAUUUAAAGUGGUACGCGAGCUGGGUUUAGAACGUCGUGAGACAGUUCGGUCCCUAUCUGCCGUGGGCGCUGGAGAACUGAGGGGGGCUGCUCCUAGUACGAGAGGACCGGAGUGGACGCAUCACUGGUGUUCGGGUUGUCAUGCCAAUGGCACUGCCCGGUAGCUAAAUGCGGAAGAGAUAAGUGCUGAAAGCAUCUAAGCACGAAACUUGCCCCGAGAUGAGUUCUCCCUGACUCCUUGAGAGUCCUGAAGGAACGUUGAAGACGACGACGUUGAUAGGCCGGGUGUGUAAGCGCAGCGAUGCGUUGAGCUAACCGGUACUAAUGAACCGUGAGGCUUAACCUUACAACGCCGAAG
Molecule: ribosomal RNA, 2925 nt
Filed under: Escherichia coli
Lineage: Bacteria; Pseudomonadati; Pseudomonadota; Gammaproteobacteria; Enterobacterales; Enterobacteriaceae
Description: bacterial LSU rRNA
Rfam family: Bacterial large subunit ribosomal RNA
Source: RNAcentral